CGAAAGUAUACAGCGCCUCAACCGACGCCACACUGGAGGUGACCAGGUUGAUAUUUUCCAGGCUUGCCUUUUUCAACCUAACCAGGGAUCAGGCUCCCAACAUUACGUACAUCGGGGUGAGAAGGACAGCAUUAAACUGUAGCGUCUUCCAGGAUUUUCCUGCUGUGACCCUCAACAAUGUUCCGUGUGAGUUCAAUCCAUCGACGGCGGAGACAGCUACAGCCACACCGAGAGUAAACGGAACGAGAAAGCCAUUUCCAAAUCCUAAAGCCCGGGACCACCCACCACCACCACAACUACUGCUUCUACUACUACUACAAUCACCACCACUGAAUCCUCGACACCGAACGAUACCUGGGUGGACAUGACGACAUCUCUCCCCGUCCCCCGAUAUAGCACGAGAACAGCGCCAUCGACCACCAGGAGAACUAUCUGCACCGAAUGCACUGUUUUCUAUAUAUAUAAUUAAGUUACACCUAAGGCAUCUUUAAUGAAAAUUUACCAUGUACAUGAAAUCGAUCUAUAUCAUCCAUUUGGCCAAGGAGAGAAACCCUUAAUCUAUCUUCUGAGUUAAAUCCAA
Molecule: long non-coding RNA, 580 nt
Organism: Mizuhopecten yessoensis (Yesso scallop)
Lineage: Eukaryota; Metazoa; Mollusca; Bivalvia; Pectinida; Pectinidae
Exons: 3
Source: RefSeq, a predicted model, not a curated record